UCCGUAGGGGAACCUUGCGGAGGGAUCAUUA
RNAcentral lists this ribosomal RNA (31 nucleotides) under Alternaria alternata. RNAcentral's name for it is "partial 18S ribosomal RNA". Lineage: Eukaryota; Fungi; Ascomycota; Dothideomycetes; Pleosporales; Pleosporaceae. The record is from RNAcentral.